RNAcentral lists this ribosomal RNA (182 nucleotides) under Salmonella enterica subsp. enterica. RNAcentral describes it as "partial 16S ribosomal RNA". It matches the Rfam family "Bacterial small subunit ribosomal RNA", at positions 1 to 176 of the family's 1533-position model. RNAcentral also lists the same sequence under 2 other names. The record is from RNAcentral. Lineage: Bacteria; Pseudomonadati; Pseudomonadota; Gammaproteobacteria; Enterobacterales; Enterobacteriaceae.
AAAUUGAAGAGUUUGAUCAUGGCUCAGAUUGAACGCUGGCGGCAGGCUUAACACAUGCAAGUCGAACGGUAACAGGAAGCAGCUUGCUGCUUUGCUGACGAGUGGCGGACGGGUGAGUAAUGUCUGGGAAACUGCCUGAUGGAGGGGGAUAACUACUGGAAACGGUGGCUAAUACCGCAUAA